This 468-nucleotide ribosomal RNA is filed under the name uncultured bacterium. Its description in RNAcentral is "partial 16S ribosomal RNA". It matches the Rfam family "Bacterial small subunit ribosomal RNA", at positions 28 to 507 of the family's 1533-position model. The record is from RNAcentral.
GACGAACGCUGGCGGCGUGCUUAACACAUGCAAGUCGAACGGAAAGGCCCUGCUUUCGUGGGGUGCUCGAGUGGCGAACGGGUGAGUAACACGUGAGUAACCUGCCCUUGACUUUGGGAUAACUUCAGGAAACUGGGGCUAAUACCGGAUAGGAGCUCCUGCUGCAUGGUGGGGGUUGGAAAGUUUCGGCGGUUGGGGAUGGACUCGCGGCUUAUCAGCUUGUUGGUGGGGUAGUGGCUUACCAAGGCUUUGACGGGUAGCCGGCCUGAGAGGGUGACCGGCCACAUUGGUACUGAGAUACGGCCCAGACGCCUACGGGAGGCAGCAGUGGGGAGUAUUGCACAGUGGGCGGAAGCCUGAUGCAGCAACGCCGCGUGCGGGAUGACGGCCUUCGGGUUGUGAACCGCUUUCGCCUGUGACGAAGCGUGAGUGACGGUAAUGGAUAAAGAAGCACCGGCUAACUACGUG